GGAACCUAUAGUGCAAUAUGCAGGGACCAUGAUGGCAAAUAUUUGGGCUCAUCAGCCAUCAAAGUCUCGGGUAUCACGGACCCGAGGACUCUCGAGGCGUUAGCUUGUCGUGAGGCGCUUGCUCUAGCCCUGGAUCUUGGGCUGCCAAAUGUACUUGUUGCCCCAGAUUGCAAAGUUGUGGUGAACGACAUCAAGCUAGGAACGGGAGGUAUGUAUGAAAGCAUAGUGAAGGAAAUAAGAAAUACUUCCGAGCAAUUUCAGCAAUGCACCUUCAUCUUCGAAGGUCGCGAUACUAAUCUUGAGGCACAUAGCCUUGCUAAGCACACCUUUAGUCUGGACUUAGGGCGCCAUUUGUGGCUUAUAAACCCUCCAGACUUGAAUUGUAUCCCUAUGAACAUUUUAGAGUAA
RNAcentral lists this ribosomal RNA (408 nucleotides) under Triticum aestivum (bread wheat). RNAcentral's name for it is "partial small subunit ribosomal RNA". The record is from RNAcentral. Lineage: Eukaryota; Viridiplantae; Streptophyta; Magnoliopsida; Poales; Poaceae.